This is a long non-coding RNA of Nannospalax galili (Upper Galilee mountains blind mole rat), 1087 nucleotides long. RefSeq lists it as uncharacterized. NCBI's taxonomy places the organism in Eukaryota, Metazoa, Chordata, Mammalia, Rodentia, Spalacidae. The record is from RefSeq and is a predicted model, not a curated record. The transcript has 3 exons.
UAUAGGCUGAGUUUAUGGCCAAAUGGAAGAAGCCCUUCCAGUCUUUCUGUGUGCCACGUUCUCAGUGCAAGGUGCUGCUUGGUCAGUAAGUUUGGCUGACUGAAUAGGAUGAGAUCAGAGCACUGAAGUCUGAUUUGAAGAUAUUGUGUGGACUCGGGAAGAGAUAAGCUAAACUCUGAAGCCAAGAAAACCAGAUAAGACCAGAAGGCACAAGAACAGUCUCAGUUCUGGGAUUCCAGGCCUGCCCCACCUCACUUGGCUGAUUGGAACUGCUUGCCUCCUCAAGAGACUGUAAACUUAUUGAGAGUAGGGGCCACCUGCAUUCUGUGUACUACUUUGUACAAAUUCAUCACACAGAGGAAGGACUCAGUAAAAGGAUCCAAUCCACUUCAUGAGUAUCCUGCUUAAAGUUCCUGCCAUAAGCAAAACAUGGAAACUCCAUGGGCUCAGAAUAGGCAACAACAAUCAUGAAAAAAGAAGAGAUAUUUCCAAUUCUAAAACGCAGUACAAAGCUUCAAUAACCAAGGCAGUGUGGUACCGGCAUAAGAAAAACACACAGGGGCCGAUGAGAUGACUCAGCAGAUCAAAGACCUUGCCACUAUGCUUCGUGACAUGAAUUCAGUCCUCGGGACCCACACCUUGGAAGGAGAAAACAGACUCCAGUGACCAAUAAAAACAUUGAACGGGACAGAAUUGAGGUCAGAACCAAUAAAGCAUUAAACACUUACUUGAAGAUAGAUUUGGCUCAGGGGUUCCAGCUAACCAUACAAUGACCCAGUUCUGUCCCUCUCUGGAAGGCACCGUUUAGAACCUGUUGACUACAUCCAAUGUUAUGUCCUUUAUGGGCCGUUCUCUGAGAAUUUCAGUUACUAUACAUGCCCUUCUAUUCAGUUUCUUAUUUGUCUUUGUACUGCCCUUGAGACGUCCCACACUGCUGAAACCAUAGUUCACACGUACGCAUUAUAAUUACUCACAGAUGUGCCUCAGCGCUUAUGCUAGGUCAUAACAUAGCUAAGAGGAGGAAUUGUCCGUUCCUUGAUAUUUUUGCCUUUCAGAAUUUUGGGAUGCUUAGUAGGUAUUAGAAAUG